UGGAGGAUGCCGGAACGUCUAGAGAGAAUCACCGACCCUCCGACUAUUCUUGUCAAUUAAGAUUGAAUUGAGAGCACCUGGUACGUACGUGUUGGGUUAAAACUCACAACCUUAGUGAUGACAGGCUAGUGAUCCAGUAGUUGAACUACUUAGACCACUCGGCUACUGAGGGUAUCUUAUAUCAUACUGUAGUAUAUCAGUAAUGUAAAACAAUAUAUUCAAUGCAUAUCUUGUAUGAAAUUAGAAAAUUACAUCCAUUUAAAAAGUUACUGAUAUGACACUGGUUUUAGGCAAAAUGUUUAUAUAUGUGUGAUUUUAAAAGACGUGUUGUCCGAGAGCUCAGCUAAUUUUUACAAGCAACA
Molecule: long non-coding RNA, 362 nt
Filed under: Mytilus galloprovincialis (Mediterranean mussel)
Lineage: Eukaryota; Metazoa; Mollusca; Bivalvia; Mytilida; Mytilidae
Source: RNAcentral